Molecule: transfer RNA, 67 nt
Filed under: Hybos culiciformis
Lineage: Eukaryota; Metazoa; Arthropoda; Insecta; Diptera; Hybotidae
Description: tRNA-Tyr
Source: RNAcentral
GAUUAAAUGACUGAAUUAUAGGUAAUAAAUUGUAAAUUUAUUUAUGGGUUAAAUAACUCUUUAAUCA